GAUCCUGGCUCAGGAUGAACGCUGGCGGCGUGCCUAACACAUGCAAGUCGAACGAGGUAAAUAAGAGGAAGUUUUCGGAUGGAAUCGUAUUUACCGAGUGGCGGACGGGUGAGUAACGCGUGGAUAACCUGCCUCAUACAGGGGGAUAACAGUUGGAAACGGCUGCUAAUACCGCAUAAGCGCACAGUACCGCAUGGUACAGUGUGAAAAACUCCGGUGGUGUGAGAUGGACCCGCGUCUGAUUAG
RNAcentral lists this ribosomal RNA (246 nucleotides) under uncultured bacterium. RNAcentral describes it as "partial 16S ribosomal RNA". It matches the Rfam family "Bacterial small subunit ribosomal RNA", at positions 15 to 244 of the family's 1533-position model. The record is from RNAcentral.